Molecule: non-coding RNA, 28 nt
Filed under: Rattus norvegicus (Norway rat)
Lineage: Eukaryota; Metazoa; Chordata; Mammalia; Rodentia; Muridae
Source: RNAcentral
UGGGCUAUUACUAGGAUCUCCUGCUUGU